RNAcentral lists this ribosomal RNA (843 nucleotides) under uncultured bacterium. RNAcentral's name for it is "bacterial SSU rRNA". It matches the Rfam family "Bacterial small subunit ribosomal RNA", at positions 125 to 952 of the family's 1533-position model. The record is from RNAcentral.
GCUGCCCAUAAGACUGGGAUAACUCCGGGAAACCGGGGCUAAUACCGGAUAACAUUUUGAACUGCAUGGUUCGAAAUUGAAAGGCGGCUUCGGCUGUCACUUAUGGAUGGACCCGCGUCGCAUUAGCUAGUUGGUGAGGUAACGGCUCACCAAGGCAACGAUGCGUAGCCGACCUGAGAGGGUGAUCGGCCACACUGGGACUGAGACACGGCCCAGACUNCUACGGGAGGCAGCAGUAGGGAAUCUUCCGCAAUGGACGAAAGUCUGACGGAGCAACGCCGCGUGAGUGAUGAAGGCUUUCGGGUCGUAAAACUCUGUUGUUAGGGAAGAACAAGUGCUAGUUGAAUAAGCUGGCACCUUGACGGUACCUAACCAGAAAGCCACGGCUAACUACGUGCCAGCAGCCGCGGUAAUACGUAGGUGGCAAGCGUUAUCCGGAAUUAUUGGGCGUAAAGCGCGCGCAGGUGGUUUCUUAAGUCUGAUGUGAAAGCCCACGGCUCAACCGUGGAGGGUCAUUGGAAACUGGGAGACUUGAGUGCAGAGGAGGAAAGUGGAAUUCCAUGUGUAGCGGUGAAAUGCGUAGAGAUAUGGAGGAACACCAGUGGCGAAGGCGACUUUCUGGUCUGUAACUGACACUGAGGCGCGAAAGCGUGGGGAGCAAACAGGAUUAGAUACCCUGGUAGUCCACGCCGUAAACGAUGAGUGCUAAGUGUUAGAGGGUUUCCGCCCUUUAGUGCUGAAGUUAACGCAUUAAGCACUCCGCCUGGGGAGUACGGCCGCAAGGCUGAAACUCAAAGGAAUUGACGGGGNCCCGCACAAGCGGUGGACCAUGUGGUUUAAUUC